AUACGUAGGGGGCGAGCGUUGUCCGGAAUGAUUGGGCGUAAAGGGCGCGUAGGCGGCCCGGUAAGUCUGGAGUGAAAGUCCUGUUUUUAAGAUGGGAAUUGCUUUGGAUACUGUCGGGCUUGAGUGCAGGAGAGGUAAGUGGAAUUCCCAGUGUAGCGGUGAAAUGCGUAGAGAUUGGGAGGAACACCAGUGGCGAAGGCGACUUACUGGACUGUAACUGACGCUGAGGCGCGAAAGUGUGGGGAGCAAACAGGAUUAGAUACCCUGGUAGUCCACACUAUAAACGAUGAAUGCUAGGUGUAGGGGGUAUCGACCCCUUCUGCGCCGCAGUCAACACAAUAAGCAUUCCGCCUGGGGAGUACGGCCGCAAGGUUGAAACUCAAAUGAAUUGACGGGG
Molecule: ribosomal RNA, 397 nt
Filed under: uncultured bacterium
Lineage: Bacteria
Description: partial 16S ribosomal RNA
Rfam family: Bacterial small subunit ribosomal RNA
Source: RNAcentral